UUUAUUUUGACUAUCAAAAUGUUUUCCUCCUCUUCCCCACAAUAUAAGGUAUGCCUAGGCCUCUUCUUCCUUUGAAAGAGAUCAGCUUUCCAUAAAAGGAAAGAAAGCUGUUCUUGGGACUUGCUUGGCCCUCCUGGCUUCCCUAAAACAGCUUUCUGGUGACCAACAGGUAUAAAAGUCCCAGCCUGUAAAUCACUGUGCUCUUUACCAUAUCCUGCCCUGAUGAUCAGAUGGUGGGUUUCCACAUGGAGAUGAGGGGAACCAAGUCCAGAGAGAAUCUAAGUUCAUUGUAUCCUUGUUGCAUAUCUUUGCUGUGUUAGGGCAAAGUAGACCUUUUGUUGAUUGUCCAGUGACUCACUUUGUUGCAACAUCUAAUUUGAACUAGAAGUGCUAGUUCUAGAACUUCCUCAGACAACAGAGAUGGGCUAAAAGAAACACUGCACAAUGACUUAAGAUGUUUUGAAAAUACAGUCUUCAUGAGUUUGUGUAGUCAUUAGAAGCUGGACUUUAUCUCAUGAAUAUUUUCAAAGACAUUUUUCUUAAAAAAUGAAAAAAAUAUAAACCAUAUAGAUACAUUUAUAAUCUUGGAAUGUCUUUAGCUCCUGAGGAAAGAUGCUACAGCUGACCCUGUAUUCUUCCUGAUCCUGCCUUCGGAUAUAUGCCUUACAGUUUGACUCACGUACUUGUUCCAGUGAAACUUCCCAGGAUGGACCUGGCCUAAAUCACAAAUACCAAGAGAAAAGAAGGAAGAAAGGAAGAAGAAAAAGAAGGAAGAAAAAGAAGACUCUCAUAACGUAUAUGCAUAAUCCAGCAAAGCAAAUUACAUUGGCUGUAUCUAAAAAUAUAUGUUUUAGUCUUCAUUUUAAAUUCAUCAGUUGUCUAGCAGGAAGUAUGUGGAGACCAGGGAGACAGAGAAGGGGCAGUCACACAGAAAAGAGAGAGAGAGAGAACUGAUACCAAGGAAGAAGAGACUAACCAAAAGAGUUGGAUGUCAAUAAUGUUUAGAGCUUCAGAGAAGUAACAAGAGGAUGAAGACAGAGACAAGAGAGGAUGAUGGUGAUACGAUGAUGAUGAGGAGGAGGAGGAGGAGGAGGAGUAUAGGGCAAGAUCCUGGAAGAAAAGGGGGGCAACAAAGUUCCAACCUUUGGGGUCCUGAUCAAAUGCAGUCAACAGUCUUCUAAGUCUACCCUCCUUGUACUCUUACAAUCCAGUGACAUUGACCUCCUGGCUAUUCCUCAAAUGAGAAGAAGGGAAACAAACUGCUAUGAUCCUGCCAUCAUGCUGAAGUGCUUUACAAAUAUCUUAUUUGAUCCUCUCAACAACCUUGGGAGUGCUGAUGACAAGCAGGAGCCAAAAGAGCACAAUGAAUCAGUAUCUACUUUAGAGAACAAAGAGGUAAAGAAAACUGUGAAGAAGUUUACAAGGUCCUCUAAGGCAAGUGACCAUAUAUACAUACAUACAUAUAUACACAAUACUUGGUGACUUCAAUGUGAAAGUGGG
This is a long non-coding RNA of Phascolarctos cinereus (koala), 1500 nucleotides long. RefSeq lists it as uncharacterized. The record is from RefSeq and is a predicted model, not a curated record. Lineage: Eukaryota; Metazoa; Chordata; Mammalia; Diprotodontia; Phascolarctidae.